GGAUAACUAAGGAAAGAGUAGGACCGAUGGAGACCAAGAAGCAUGAUCAGUAAGAGGCGCACGAUCAGUGAGGGGAGACUUUGGCCUGAGUGAAACAGAGACUGAAUGGUGUAACAGCAAGAACACAGCCAAAGACCAACACAACAACAGCUGACUCACAAAACUGACCUUGGCUACUGAGAGCAACCAAUCUGAAAUGCUUGUGCUGACAUGUCAGUUGGCAAACUCACAUCCAACAUAUUUGGUUUACCAUGAUAGUUAACUCUAUAUUUGAACAAAAAAUAGCUUUCUAGCCAAUGUUAAUAUUUGAGGCGGGUUUGAUAUUCUCGUGGUAUUCCAUAUUUAAACUAUGACAGAAUAUCGAGGAGGAUCGACAGUAUUUCUCAUGUUUCUGUCACAAGCUGAGAUGUCUCUCCAGAUGCUCUUCUGGUUGUGUCCUUGGCAAGGACGGGCAGCCUGCUAAAUCCCUGUAAUUUAAAAAAUUAGGACUUGUACAUAGUGUAGGCCAUCCUUCUUUAGUCUACUGCAUUGUUAACAUUCCAGAUUACACUUAAACAUAUUUAAUGUUAAUGGAGCAGUUGUGCUUUAUCUGUUGGACUAAGGUACUUGGCACUUUGGAAAGAAGCAGAGCACCUUGCAAUAUGAAUAGAAGUCAAAUACAUCUCAUAUUUCCCCUGUAGCAAGGAAACUUAUAAUGGCUGGAGUAGCUGACUAAGCAUAGCUGAUUAUUUGAUAGCAGAUUUCAUCUUGUGGACAGACAAAACACGCAAUAAUAAAUUUAAAUAAUCAUUGUUCAUUGGCCCAUAUCAUAUUUAUGUAAGAUUGUUG
Long non-coding RNA from Carcharodon carcharias (great white shark), 828 nucleotides. RefSeq lists it as uncharacterized. The record is from RefSeq and is a predicted model, not a curated record. Lineage: Eukaryota; Metazoa; Chordata; Chondrichthyes; Lamniformes; Lamnidae. The transcript has 3 exons.